ACAUACAUACUAAAACAUGUGCAAAAGGAUUGGUUUCAACACUCAAAGGAAGUGGCACAAAUGGCUCAUGCCAAGCAAGUAUCAAAAUAGGGACUAAAAUGCAAACAUCAACUUCGAAAAUCCAAAUCAAACUGAAAAUGAAUCCUAAAUUCAUGAGAGUUUAACACAAAGUUCCACUGAACAUACAUAAACAUCAUGCAAAAAAUCAGGAGUAUCCAGAUUCAUUUGAUAUGAAAACAAAAAUCGAGAAAUUGAGAAUGCAAAAACAUGUCCUAAAAU
This 279-nucleotide long non-coding RNA is filed under the name Lathyrus oleraceus (garden pea). RNAcentral describes it as "Pisum sativum (pea) long non-coding RNA (PSAT_LNC012949)". The record is from RNAcentral. Lineage: Eukaryota; Viridiplantae; Streptophyta; Magnoliopsida; Fabales; Fabaceae.